GAUGAAGAACGUAGCGAAAUGCGAUACUUGGUGUGAAUUGCAGAAUCCCGUGAACCAUCGAGUCUUUGAACGCAAGUUGCGCCCGAAGCCAUCAGGUUGAGGGCACGUCUGCCUGGGCGUCACAUAUCGUUGCUCGAUGCCUAUCGCAUUGCGAUAGGACUUAGGGCGAAUGAUGGCUUCCCGUGAGCGUUGUUGCCUCGCGGUUGGUUGAAAAUCGAGUCCUUGGUAGGGUGUGCCAUGAUAGAUGGUGGUCGAGUUAGCACGAGACCGUUCAUGUGCAUGCUCCCCAAAAUAUGGCCUCUGUGACCCACACGCGUCUUUUGACGCUCAUGACGAGACCUCAGGUCAGGCGGGGCUACCCGCUGAAUUUAAGCAUAUCAAUAAGCGGAGGA
This 392-nucleotide unclassified non-coding RNA is filed under the name soil metagenome. Its description in RNAcentral is "partial contains 5.8S ribosomal RNA, internal transcribed spacer 2, and large subunit ribosomal RNA". The stretch from base 1 to 122 matches the Rfam family "5.8S ribosomal RNA", at positions 35 to 154 of the family's 154-position model. The record is from RNAcentral.